Molecule: ribosomal RNA, 322 nt
Filed under: uncultured Spirochaetota bacterium
Lineage: Bacteria; Pseudomonadati; Spirochaetota
Description: bacterial SSU rRNA
Rfam family: Bacterial small subunit ribosomal RNA
Source: RNAcentral
GACGAACGCUGGCGGCGUGGAUUAGGCAUGCAAGUCGAACGGUAUUUAUUCCUUCGGGGAUAAAGAGAGUGGCGAACGGGUGAGUAACGCGUAGGUAAUCUACCUUCAAGUGGGGGACAACCCAGGGAAACUUGGGCUAAUACCGCAUGUGGCAGUAAUGCUAAAGCCGGCCUCUGAAAAUGCUGGCGCUUGGAGCUGAGCCUGCGUCUGAUUAGCUAGACGGUGAGGUAAUGGCUUACCGUGGCGAUGAUAAGUAGGCGGCUUUAACGAGUGGUCGCCCACACUGGGAUUGAGAUACGGCCCAGACUCCUACGGGUGGCUG